UUUUUAGGUUAUUUAUCCAUCCCAAAAACAAACAUUUUUCUUGGAUCCCCUGGGAGGGCCGGAUAUGAAAGUCCAGAAGUGCCUGGACACCACAAGUUUGCAGAAAAAUUACUGAAGGACCAGCCAAUCACCUUUUGUAAUACAGAAAAUGAAAUAAACAUCAUGAGGAAAAAGAUGUCAGUGACUCUUAUGCAAGAAUCAGACAGUCCCUUCGGACUUGUCUCUGAGGCACCAAUGCUUUGAGAUUAAUGUAUUUUGUACAAAGCAGAGGAAAGCUUGCUUUGAGGAAAAUUUGUUUGUAGCUUGUUUUCUACAUC
This 317-nucleotide long non-coding RNA is filed under the name Carassius auratus (goldfish). RNAcentral's name for it is "lncRNA (ENSCARG00000052115.1)". The record is from RNAcentral. Lineage: Eukaryota; Metazoa; Chordata; Actinopteri; Cypriniformes; Cyprinidae.